This 78-nucleotide transfer RNA is filed under the name Klebsiella pneumoniae. Its description in RNAcentral is "tRNA-Asn". It matches the Rfam family "tRNA". From Rfam's summary of the family: Transfer RNA (tRNA) molecules are approximately 80 nucleotides in length. RNAcentral also lists the same sequence under 9 other names. Lineage: Bacteria; Pseudomonadati; Pseudomonadota; Gammaproteobacteria; Enterobacterales; Enterobacteriaceae. The record is from RNAcentral.
GGGAGAGAAGCAGUAAGUGGUAUAGGCGGUCGCCUGUUAAGCGAAUGACAGUGAGUUCGAAUCUCACCUCUCCCGCCA